CAGCUGAUGCAGCCAUGCCGCGUGUAUGAAGAAGGCCUUCGGGUUGUAAAGUACUUUCAGCGAGGAGGAAGGGGUAUGUGGUUAAUAACCACAUUGAUUGACGUUACUCGCAGAAGAAGCACCGGCUAACUCCGUGCCAGCAGCCGCGGUAAUACGGAGGGUGCAAGCGUUAAU
Molecule: ribosomal RNA, 174 nt
Filed under: Citrobacter sp.
Lineage: Bacteria; Pseudomonadati; Pseudomonadota; Gammaproteobacteria; Enterobacterales; Enterobacteriaceae
Description: partial 16S ribosomal RNA
Rfam family: Bacterial small subunit ribosomal RNA
Source: RNAcentral